CUUCUCUUGCGAUUAUUUGAGGUAUGACCUGCCCGCUGAUUUUUUUUGAAGGGCCGCGGUAUUUUGACCGUGCAAAGGUAGCAUAAUCAUUAGUCUUUUAAUUGUGGGCUGGAAUGAAUGGUUUGACGAGACGUUAGCUGUCUCUUUUUAAUUUAUUGAAUUUGGGUUUUAGGUAAAAAUACCUAAAUGUAUUUAUGGGACGAGAAGACCCUAUAGAGUUUUAUAUUAUUGGGGAUGUGAUUAAUGUUUUGUUUGGUUGUUUUAUUUUUUGUUUUAUUUUGUUGGGGCGAUUAGGAGAUUUAAUUAACUCUUCUUUUUUUUUUCUAUUUAUUUGUAUUUUUUUGAUCCUUUAUUAUUGAUUUUAAGUUUAAAUUACC
Molecule: ribosomal RNA, 377 nt
Filed under: Archotermopsis wroughtoni
Lineage: Eukaryota; Metazoa; Arthropoda; Insecta; Blattodea; Termopsidae
Description: partial 16S ribosomal RNA
Source: RNAcentral